CAGCAGCCGCGGUAAUACGUAGGUCCCGAGCGUUGUCCGGAUUUAUUGGGCGUAAAGCGAGCGCAGGCGGUUAGAUAAGUCUGAAGUUAAAGGCUGUGGCUUAACCAUAGUACGCUUUGGAAACUGUUUAACUUGAGUGCAAGAGGGGAGAGUGGAAUUCCAUGUGUAGCGGUGAAAUGCGUAGAUAUAUGGAGGAACACCGGUGGCGAAAGCGGCUCUCUGGCUUGUAACUGACGCUGAGGCUCGAAAGCGUGGGGAGCAAACAGGAUUAGAUACCCGGGUAGUCCCUGUCUCUUAUACA
This 301-nucleotide ribosomal RNA is filed under the name uncultured bacterium. RNAcentral's name for it is "partial 16S ribosomal RNA". It matches the Rfam family "Bacterial small subunit ribosomal RNA", at positions 509 to 808 of the family's 1533-position model. The record is from RNAcentral.